AAGAAAUGUGGGAAUGUUUCUUGGGGGAGAGAAACGAGAAGGUCUCGCUUUUUUGUUUGCUUGGGGUUUCGUUUUUAAACACACACACUAUAAGUAGAAGAAUUUUUUUUUUAAAAUACUAUUGACUGCGUUGCUCGUCGCAACGUGGACAAGCAGUAUAUAUGUAUACAUACAUACAACUUUCAGCAACGGAUCUCUUGGCUCUCGCAUCGAUGAAGAACGCAGCGAAAUGCGAUAAGUAAUGUGAAUUGCAGAAUCCAGUGAAUCAUCGAAUCUUUGAACGCACCUUGCGCUCCUUGGUAUUCCGAGGAGCAUGCCUGUUUGAGUGUCAUGGUAUUCUCAAGUCCCGCCCCUCUCGCCUUUGCGUUCAUUCACUCUUGAGCGUGUCAGGGUGGGAGGUUGGUCCAAGGGAUUUGGACUUGGAGACAUGCUGGAAUUUCCGUAAUUUCGGCUUCUCUAAAAUGCAGUAGUGUGAACUUGUGGGUUGCACGUGACUCAGUGUGAUAAUUAUCUGUGCUGUGUUGCGGGGGCGACCCGUCGCAUCUGUGAACAACAGUUUGCUUUGCGGGGGGUUCAUUGCUUUCAAACAGUCUGUUCGGU
This 600-nucleotide ribosomal RNA is filed under the name Podoscypha involuta. Its description in RNAcentral is "eukaryotic LSU rRNA". The stretch from base 178 to 331 matches the Rfam family "5.8S ribosomal RNA". Lineage: Eukaryota; Fungi; Basidiomycota; Agaricomycetes; Polyporales; Podoscyphaceae. The record is from RNAcentral.